This is a long non-coding RNA of Asparagus officinalis (garden asparagus), 2967 nucleotides long. RefSeq lists it as uncharacterized. NCBI's taxonomy places the organism in Eukaryota, Viridiplantae, Streptophyta, Magnoliopsida, Asparagales, Asparagaceae. The record is from RefSeq and is a predicted model, not a curated record. The transcript is spliced from 5 exons.
UAUUGUUUAAUUGGUUUAAAUAUUAGUGACAACUUUUCCCGAGUAAAGAUGCCUCUUGAAAAUGCGUACAAUUGCUCUGAUGUAAAUUUUCACAUGAUUCAUGUAAUUUGUAGGAAAUCAUAUGCUCUGUAAAAAAAAAAUUGAAUCUGUGAAAUGGCAGAUUUUAUUUUCCUUGGUGCAUUCUAUGAAAUUCUUGUUCAUCGAUGCCAUGACCAUCCAUAAUUUGUUGAGGUCUCAUUUAUUAUCACUUUGCUUUACGAUUUCUUAAUUUUUACAUUUAUAAGGGCUAUUCGUUUUGAUUGAUAUAUUCUUUUUGUAGGAAAAUGUUGCACAGUUAAGAUUGCCUUCAAAUAUUGGGGUAUUUCGUGAUUUGGUAAAUAACCGUUUAAGGUCUUUGCUAAAUGAUAAUCAUUACGAAGCCCUUCGUCAAACCACUUUUUUCCACUUCAUUAAUCUACCUGCUAUACCUAAUGAACAAGUUGCAGCCGAUUGCUUGCUUCAUGCAUUUAAUCCAGAGCGUAGCUUAAUUAGGAUUGGGGGAAAAUAUUUGUGUUUAGUGUUCUUGAUAUGCAUGAAAUAACUGGAUUGCCAAAGAUUGAAAAUAGGGUUAUAAUGGAUGGUCCAGCAUCUAAUACUAUAUAUACUGAGCAUGUGUAUUGUAAAAAGUCCCAAAUAGAGGAGGAGGAGGAGAAGGCCAGUAUGGGAAAGAAGAGGAAAGUCGAGAAGAAGGAUGUGAAUAAAGAUAAGAAGAAAGUGUGGGGCACACACAAAAGGAUGGCUGAUUUAAUUAUGGAGUUGGUGGGCUCCAAUCAUAUAGCAUGUGUGAAAUUACUUGUGGCUUUUAUUAUUGGAUUUGUAUUAUGCCCUCAGCCCGCUAACUCAUGUCCAUUAUGGGCAUUUAGAUAUGCGGACAAUUUAUUUGCUCUUCGUAAUUACAAUUAGGUUGGUGCUAUGUAUGAUUUACUACAUAAGGAGAUGACGAAGGCAAAGUUGUCCAUUUCAAAGUGAGCCUUAGAAGAGAGGGAAUGAGUCGGGUACAUGGGUGGGUUUGCAUCGGUAUUGGUGGUUUGGUUUUAUGAAAUAGUGGGGGAGCUAAAGUGUGAAAUAAAAGAGGAAACCUUACGACCCAUUUUUAUUAAUAGGAAGUCUCGAUCCUUUCGGCGAAAUGCGAUGAUGAGGUUAAUUGAAAAAUCAAAAUGUAUUAGGAAUUUCAUUAGUCAAACCACUAUAUCAUCCAUUCCUAGCGCAUCACGUCAUCAAUCGGUGAUGACAUUACUUGAAGUACACAAAUUGCUUGCAAAAAAUAGAGAGGAGUAUGAUGAGCUCAUUGAGUUAGAGAACAAGUUGAGUAGUGGUGGUAACGGCGGCAAUGAAGCCGAAGAUGAAAGUGAAGAGCAAGAUUGAGAGGACAAGGAGGACGGUGACGAUACAAAUGAUGGGGAGGAUGAGGAUGACGAUGAUACAAAUAUUGAGGAGAAUGACGUUGAGGAUGAUGAGGGUAAUAGAGAAGAACAAGGAGUACAAAGUCAUGAAGAGAAUACUAAAGAUAAAGAAAGGAGUGAGAAAUAUAGCUGUGGAUCUAAAUCCAAGAGGAAUGAAAAACAAGACGAGAUGAUUGCGGAAGAGCUAGUUGACGAUGAUGACUUCUUAGCUAUUUCUUUUUCAGGGACAUCACCAAGUAAAAGGAACAUCAGAGAUAGGACCCCAUCAAUUAAAUGGGUCGUUAGAGAUAGGAAACAUUUACCCACACGUGCAUAUCGUUCACCUUAUACGUGGCUACGAGGCCGUAAUGAGAAAAAGGAGGACAUAAUUAAUGUUUCUCAAUUGCAAACGUCGAACAUGAGUAUGGGUUGUAAAGAAAAGAAUGAAGUGAUAAUGUUUUCAAGUUGCAAACGCCUGAGAAGAGAAAGAAAGUUAAUAGAGGGACUGAUUUUAUCCCUAAGAAUUGCGAUUACCCGGCGAACGAAAAGUUAAAUGAAAGUGAGAGGAAACUCCUUGAUGAAGUUUGCAAGAAGAGAAUGAAUAGAGAUGAAUUUGUUUAGCAAUAUGUUACUCGAUUAGAUAUAUAUCAUCUUCUUAUUGAAAGGACAAUUUCUGAUAGUGUAAGUUCGCAAUCUUUAAUAGUUUUUUUUUCGCAUAUUUUCAUAUUUUAGUUGUGAUCAUUUUAUUAUGCAUAAUUUUCAGUUAGUCGAUGGUAUGAUAGAGAGAUUAAGAUGAAGAUUGAAAUAGAAGCAUGUCCAAAGCACAUACGCAUCACAUGAUCAUUCUUUGCUGUGAGUAUUAGGAAAAUUUACUAUCAUUUAAAUUAUUUUUUUGUUAAAUAUUAUGGUCAUGUUUUAACAGAGCAUUACUACAAGAUAAUCCCGGUCAUUGGACAAGACAACUCAAGGGUCGACAGCUUCCACAUGCACGCUUUGAAGAAUGCGAGAAGAUUAUUUUUUCUAUUCUUAGCCGUAGUCAUUGGCAUUUGUUGGAAUUGAUUAAGUCUGAGAAUUUUUUUAUCACUAUUCAUCACUCACAUACAUUAAAUAUCUUAAUGAUGCCAAGAAGUUCAUGACCAAUUUCUUAGCUUGCAUAAAGGAUGAAUGGAAAAUAGAAAAUAUGGAUGAGUAUAGUAUAGAAACACGACAGGUUCCUCAACAGGAUGGGAGCUUAGAUUGCGGCAUUUUCAUGAUGGGAUACAUAUAUUCCAUCAUCAAUGACACACCUUCAUUCAUUCAUUAGAACAAUUGUGAACUUCUAAGAGCAAAGAUCGCUAUUGCAUUUAUUUAGGAGGAAUCAGAAAAUCUGUUAGAACAUGCUUUUACCGAGGAAGUAGAUUCUGAAUAUAUAUGUCUUGGAUGUCCUUAUUAUUGAAGUUGUGCAGGAGCUUACAUUUUGUGUUGAUUUUAGUGUCAAUUUUGGGUAGUGUUGAUUUUGUACACUGAAUAUAAAUGUCCAGUUAAAUUUAUUAUAUGUUGUACGUUA